UCAAGUAUAAAUACGUCAUAUAAGUAGUAGGAACCUGUGUCCUAAGGUCUAAUUUGUCAGCGAAGUGAUCUCUCAGCUGUGAAGUUAUGACCUGUCUUCUUAAUAGAGUUAAAAAUCGUUGAAAUGAAUCCUCGGCGGGUUUUCAGCAAAAUCUAAGUGUACAUUAAGUGAGCAUUGCCCGGUUCGGUAUUACUAGCAUUAAAGUGAAUGUGUUUUUAGUGGAGCCAUCUAUGUGCAUCACAUAACAGCCAAACCGACUAGCAGGCUUCUGCGCAUGAUUAACUUUUGAAUCACAGACUUCUAUGUAACAGCACCCGGCCUCGAGUUCUUUCUGUGUACAGGCAUCAAAGAAGAAACAACACAGGUUUAUAGCUGCUACGAACAAAACAUGAAGGAAUCCUGGACGAGGCAAGUUUUCAAUAACUGAUCGGGCAACCCCAUCAAGGAAAUUAAAAAUCGGAAGAAAAACCUAUUGUUACACUGGUUGUAAAAGAAGAAAACAGCUGAAAACUAAACGGUGAUUCGUCACAAUGAACAAUCCGAAGAAGCUGGAGGAACUUCUAUAAUUUAGUAGCCGAAUGGUCAGCAGAAUCCAAUCCAGUUGAACAUCAGAUCCGUAAUUAGGGGGUAUGGGACUAUGAAAUACUACUGUCCACUAAGAGAAACCAGCGCAAUUGUAGCAGUUAAAUCAUUUGAAACUAAAGUUCCCCCUCCACGGCAACGUACAGUUUAUGAAUGGCGCCAGCAGAUUCAAGUUCAUCAAGGGGACACUUGAGAUUUAUAAGCUCGACUAAGGAUUCGGUUGGGUACCGGGGUACUCUAGAGGUUCGGCUAGAAUCAGUCAUGUACCGUUCCAAUCAAUGGAGCACGCUAUGGCUGAUAGACAGUUUCAAAUCCAGCAAAUUUCGGAGAAAUCAAAAUCUCGACUUUGGAGCUGACUGCUACAGACACAAAUAGAUCACUUACAUGCUCAUUCAUGUUAAAUUCAUAACAGGAUAC
This is a long non-coding RNA of Varroa destructor (honeybee mite), 999 nucleotides long. RefSeq lists it as uncharacterized. NCBI's taxonomy places the organism in Eukaryota, Metazoa, Arthropoda, Arachnida, Mesostigmata, Varroidae. The record is from RefSeq and is a predicted model, not a curated record.